GAAAGUGUUAACUUGUUGCUGAAGGUGUUGUUCGCAGCGGGGAUUUAGCUGAUUGGUUCGUGAGAUUUUGGCGCAAUUUCUCUUUACGCUGAUUGGCUAGUGCAGUUUUGGCGCCAUUUCUGUUUAACUGCGUCUCUUUUUUUCCAGGAAGUGUUUGGUUUAUUUAGAUCACAGUUCAGCUCAGGUGAGAGCACACACACUGACUCAGCUCUGUGUAGACAAUCUCCUGCUCAUUCACGGUCAACAUGGUAGAUAAAGAACAGUUUCUGCGAAAACACUUUGAUAAAAUUGUACAAAAUACAAGAACUCCAGUGGUACUGGCUGAUCGUCUGCUUGCCAAAGGUUUUAUUAACCAGGAAAUGUAUGAAAAGAUCGAAACCAAGGAAACCAAAUCAGACAAAAACCGUGAAAUUCAUGCAAGCCUCAAUAGUAAAACACACUUUGACUUCAUGUAUGAUUGGUUGAAGGAGAACGAGCCACAUCUGUUUGAAGAAUUGGAAAACGACGACACUGAGGCUGAAGCACCACAGAAAAAACGAGCCAGACUCAGGCGUCAGGAUGAACCAGAUAAUAAUCUUACAGGAUUUCCCGAAUCUGAAAGAGAUCUCCGGACGAUAUCCACCUUCGCCAAACUGGAAGAAUGGGUGUCGAAACCAGAAAUCAGCCAAAAGAUGAUCAGUGACUUGGAGAGAAAACUUGGUGAUGAAGGCAUGGCAGCUUUGAGAAAAGAAUUAAAGCUUAAAGAACCAAGAAAUAGUUUAUGCUUCAAUGCGUCCAAUAUUGAUGAUAUCAGGAAAAAUAAGGAACUUGAAAGAUUUCUCAACACAACAAAGAACGCAAAAUUUCCUAAACUGACAUAUGACAUGUGGUUUAAGAAACGUGCCUCUGCCUCAUCAGGAAACAGAGCUCAAAGCUCCAUUGAUUAUAAUGAGUGCAUAGAGGCGAUGACCGAUUUAAGCAGCAGUGGAGUUGGAUCUUCAUUAAACUCAAGUCUUAAUAAUAGCUACUCUGCAGUCAGUUUCAACUAUUUACCACAAAAUGAUGACGGAUUGCCAGAUGAAGAUUGCAGAUACACUGGAGACGUGGAUAUUAUGAUUCAUGAAAAUAAAGACAAAGAGAGUGAGUUCAAAACCCCUGAAAAGCUCCUUGGUGGAUCAUUCAUCCAAAUGGACCCUGAGGUCAAUGCUGAUGCACCAUCACAAGAACCUGUGAACAUGCAGAAUACACACAUUGAUGAGAUGGAAGAGCGAUCUCAAAGAUCAUAUGUUCCAAAUAGCGUGAGGCAUGAAGAUGAAUCUCUGCAACAAAAUGAGCGAAUCACAAAGAAAGAGACGCCACUAGAUGUUGAACUUGGAAGCAUGGAUUUGCAGGAAAUACAAGUUGAUGAGAUGGAUGAUGAACCUCAAAGAUCAUCUGUUCCAAAUUACCCAAGGCAUGAGGAUGUGUCUCUGCACCAAAAUCAGUCAAUCGCCAAAAAUGAAACACCACUAAAAGAUGGACUUGGAAGCACGGACUUUCAGGGUGCACACAUUGACGAGAUGGAGGAGGAACCUCAAAGAUCAAAUGUUCUGAUGCAUUCCGCAUCGCUGCACCAAAAUGAGUCAGUCAUUAAAAGCAAAAUCCCACUAGAAGGCAGAUGUGGGAACAUGCACAUGCAGCAAAAUGAGCAAGAAAAUAUGCAGGUUAACCCUGGGCCUUUUCUUUCAACGCAGCUGCAGAAGAACAGUCCAGGUUCCGCAUCAGAGCAUACGGAAAGCAAUGGCACAGAGAGCUCGAUGCUAAAUAAAGACACAGCCAUACUAGCUAAAAACGGAGAUGUGAAAGAUCGGAUCGAAACUUCAAAAAAGAGGGCAAACUCAAAAUACCAGAAGGAAAAGAAGAAAGAAGAAAAGGAUAAACGGCUUCGUGACUGGGCACUGAGACAAUGUAAUAACCGUGAAGAGGACUUAAAGAACAUAUUUGACCAGAUCUCAAUUAUAAACAUGGCAGAACACAGCGAUUAUCCAUGCUUUACUGCUGAAAAUGUCAUGGUGUAUAAAUACUUAACUCCCGAGAGCCAGAUUAUCUUCAUCACCGAUGACAAUACCUCCGUCAAAACUAGGACCACGGUCCAUUACCAAAUGUUUGUGUGUAAGAUUAAGAGAGCCAUACUCUUAGGUCCUAAAGAACCUGACGAACAGGAGAUUCCAUAUAAUAUAUCUCAAGUGCCUAUAGAUAAGUGUACAGAUUUUAUUUUCAAAGCAUUCGCUCCUGCUCUUACGGUGUACAAAGAGAUUCAGAAAGAAGAGAAACUGUACUCUCUCAUCUGAGUGCAGUCGGGGUGUUAUUCCACUAGAGCAGUGUAGAGCGCUGCAAAUUCAGCUACUGACAAAAUGUUAUUGUGACGCUAUAACUAUGUUGUGGGAUUAUUUAAUUAAUUUUAAGAACAGUUUAAUUAAAUUCAUUUCUGUAACUUCACUUCACUCAUGAACACGUGCCUUGGGUCAUGAUGUUCUGUCCUUGUACAUGUUUUUCUCCUACCUUCACCAUCUGCAUUAUCUGUGUGGGCCUCUUUCUCACACACACACACACACACACACACACACACACCAGUAUAAAAGCUUGUUUUGUCUGAUUUUUGUUUAGACUAUAGAACGCCCAGGUUGUCUUAAUAAACCAUCUAUUUUAUUAAAACCUGCCUCCUGGUCUCCCGAGUCUGCACAUAUCUUACUUCUAAUGAAACUGCAGCAUUCUGAUGCAUUUACAGUCAGGUCCAUAAGUAUUUGGACAGUGAUGCAAUUUUCAUGAUUUUGCCUGUGUACACAUUUGAAAUGAAGCAGUCGAGAUGUGAUUGAAGUGUAGACUUACAGAUUUAAUUCAAGGGGUUCAGCAAAAAUAUUACAUUAACCAUUUAAGAAUUACAGCAUUUUUUACAGAGUCCCUCCAUUUUUACAGACUGAAAAGUAAUUGGACAAUUGACUGAUGUUCCAUGGCCAGGUGUUCCAUGGCCAGGUGUUUCAUGGCCAGGUGUGGCCUGUUUCCUCGUUAUUCCAUGACAAAUUAAGGAGAUAAAAGGCCUGGAGUUGAAUUUGCAUUCGAUAGCUGAAGAAGAGGAAGAAGCUUUUAUUGAUCACAUAUGUAUUUCAGCACAGUGAAAUUCUCUGACUUAACCUGAACGUGUGAAUCAUUACAUGCCUUAUUGCUAAAAUUUCUAAAAUUUUAAUACAAAUAGCCAGUCGACCCGCACACAGAUAAUAGUUUAUUGGAGGGUCAGAUUAGCUAAUGUAAAAAAAUAACUUUUUGUUCAUAUCAAACAGUAAAAAUGAAUAUUUACCAGCCACUGUGGCAGGUGGAGGAAAAACUGAAUUUCAGACCCUGCUGCCAGUGGAACUGGGUCAGUGGUGUUUACUGAUGAUGUGAGUGCUGAUAGAAGGAGCAGGAUGAAUUCUGUAGUGUAUCGAGAUAUACGUUCUGCUCAGAUUCAGUCGAAUCCUGCAAAACUGAAACAGGACGGCGCUUCACAGUACAGAUGGAAAACGACCUCCCGAAACGUACUGCGAAAGAAUCCCAAGAGCUUCUUAAGGCAAAGAAAUGGUAUGUUCUUAAAUGGCAGCGUCAAUCACCUGACCUCACCCCCUUGAGCUGCUUUUCACUUACUGAAGACAAAACUACAGGCAGAAAAACCCACAAACAAGCAGCAACUGAAGGCAGCUGCAGUAAAGACCUGGUAAAGCAUCUCAAACUCAACAUUUGACGAUGUCCAUGGCUUUCAGACUUCAAUCGGUCAAUGACUGCAACAGAUUUGCAUUCAAGUAUUAAAAAUAGUUCUAAUAUUUAUGAUUAUGUUAGCCUGUCCAAUUACUUUUGAGCCUGUAAAAAAAUGCCCAUAACGCCUCAAUUGUUGAUGCAAUAUUUAUGUUGAACUCCUUGAAUUAAAGCUGAAAGUCUACACUUCAAUCACAGCUCGAUUCCUUCAUUUCUUAUCCCACUACGAAAAUUCAUUACUCACAGACCUGACUGUAGACGCCAUCACGAUUUUAAAUCAUUUUCAUUCAUGUUUGGUUUCUUGUGUGUGUGUGCAUGUGUGUGUGUGUGUGUGUGUGUGUGUGUGUGUGUGUGUUAACCAGAGAUAGUGGUAUAAAGACAAUAUUAGUGUGGGUGUGACCCAUAAUGAGGAAGUGCAUUGGUGGGUGUAAAAGUUUCAGUCUUCAUCAGCAGUGAAUCUCAGUGACAGUGAGAGUCGUGUUACAGCCAGCAACACUUUUCUAAACGUGUUAAAC
Molecule: long non-coding RNA, 4259 nt
Organism: Ictalurus punctatus (channel catfish)
Lineage: Eukaryota; Metazoa; Chordata; Actinopteri; Siluriformes; Ictaluridae
Source: Ensembl